Molecule: transfer RNA, 72 nt
Filed under: Cyanobacteria bacterium FACHB-63
Lineage: Bacteria; Bacillati; Cyanobacteriota
Description: tRNA-Cys
Rfam family: tRNA
About the family: Transfer RNA (tRNA) molecules are approximately 80 nucleotides in length. Their secondary structure includes four short double-helical elements and three loops (D, anti-codon, and T loops).
Source: RNAcentral
GGCGGCAUAGCCAAGUGGUAAGGCAAGCGUCUGCAAAAUGCUCAUCCCCCAGUUCGAAUCUGGGUGCCGCCU